Molecule: ribosomal RNA, 133 nt
Filed under: Paratanytarsus grimmii
Lineage: Eukaryota; Metazoa; Arthropoda; Insecta; Diptera; Chironomidae
Description: partial 18S rRNA
Rfam family: Eukaryotic small subunit ribosomal RNA
Source: RNAcentral
GUGAGAUCUCUGGAGUGACACGACGGUAUUUCGGUACUGAUGUUGAUUUGCCAAAGUUGAUCAAACUUGAUGAUUUGGAGGAAAUAAAAGUCGUAACAAGGUUUCCGUAGGUGAACCUGCGGAAGGAUCAUUA